ACCAAGGCAACGAUCCGUAGCUGGUCUGAGAGGAUGAUCAGCCACAUCGGGACUGAGACACGGCCCGAACUCCUACGGGAGGCAGCAGUGGGGAAUAUUGGACAAUGGGGGCAACCCUGAUCCAGCCAUGCCGCGUGUGUGAAGAAGGCCCUCGGGUUGUAAAGCACUUUCAGCGAGGAAGAACGCCUAUCGGUUAAUACCCGGUAGGAAAGACAUCACUCGCAGAAGAAGCACCGGCUAACUCCGUGCCAGCAGCCGCGGUAAUACGGAGGGUGCAAGCGUUAAUCGGAAUUACUGGGCGUAAAGCGCGCGUAGGUGGCUUGAUAAGCCGGUUGUGAAAGCCCCGGGCUCAACCUGGGAACGGCAUCCGGAACUGUCAGGCUAGAGUGCAGGAGAGGAAGGUAGAAUUCCCGGUGUAGCGGUGAAAUGCGUAGAGAUCGGGAGGAAUACCAGUGGCGAAGGCGGCCUUCUGGACUGACACUGACACUGAGGUGCGAAAGCGUGGGUAGCAAACAGGAUUAGAUACCCUGGUAGUCCACGCCGUAAACGAUGUCGACCAGCCGUUGGGUGCCUAGAGCACUUUGUGGCGAAGUUAACGCGAUAAGUCGACCGCCUGGGGAGUACGGCCGCAAGGUUAAAACUCAAAUGAAUUGACGGGGGCCCGCACAAGCGGUGGAGCAUGUGGUUUAAUUCGAUGCAACGCGAAGAACCUUACCUACCCUUGACAUCUACAGAAGCCGGAAGAGAUUCUGGUGUGCCUUCGGGAACUGUAAGACAGGUGCUGCAUGGCUGUCGUCAGCUCGUGUUGUGAAAUGUUGGGUUAAGUCCCGUAACGAGCGCAACCCUUGUCCUUAUUUGCCAGC
This 863-nucleotide ribosomal RNA is filed under the name Halomonas sp. A3H3. RNAcentral describes it as "bacterial SSU rRNA". It matches the Rfam family "Bacterial small subunit ribosomal RNA", at positions 267 to 1122 of the family's 1533-position model. Lineage: Bacteria; Pseudomonadati; Pseudomonadota; Gammaproteobacteria; Oceanospirillales; Halomonadaceae. The record is from RNAcentral.